This 61-nucleotide transfer RNA is filed under the name Rhinebothroides sp. MZUSP 8017. RNAcentral's name for it is "tRNA-Gln". The record is from RNAcentral. Lineage: Eukaryota; Metazoa; Platyhelminthes; Cestoda; Rhinebothriidea; Rhinebothriidae.
UUUAAUGUGGUGUAAAGCACAACACAUUUUGGUUGUGUAGGGAGUUAGUUACUCGUUAUUU